Molecule: RNA transcript, 926 nt
Organism: Cryptotermes secundus
Lineage: Eukaryota; Metazoa; Arthropoda; Insecta; Blattodea; Kalotermitidae
Exons: 4
Source: RefSeq, a predicted model, not a curated record
GUGCUUCAAGUCAGCCACUCGUUGUGUGACUGCGCAAGUAACUAAUGAGGGUUCUUCAACAAAUGAAUCUCUGUUUAUUGCCAAGUGACAGUGGCAGUGAUAUGCAAGAUACGAAGCCCUUUAUAUCGGAUUACGUUUUGCUAUAGUGCAGUGGUUUAUCUGUACUGCAGUGCUACACGGUUUGCCGACAAGUUACCUUUGUCCGGAGGAGGCGAACAUCAAAGCCAGUAAGGUUACAAAUGUUCGGCUGAUGGGAGAAGAUGAAAAGGAACUUUCAUUAGGUUUUCUUAUUAUGGAGUUCGAGCUGUUGCUGAUGGAUAGAGGAUGGAAGGUGAGCAUGAACGAGCAACUGGGAACUGUCCAUGUCCUCCCACGACUCGGUUAAUUGAAUGCCGCAAGGCGGCAGCACAAGUCCAGUCUCAACAAAUUGUGCUGAUCUGGGCUUUGGAAAUAACAGAGGAGGCCAUGAUGGAAUGACUUCUAUUUUCUGCCUUCUUCGGUGCCAUGAAAUGAUGGAAGAUGUAAUGCGGUUGUUGUCUAAACACCAUAUUCAGAACUACUACACGGAUAUGGAUGGAAUUUGACGUAAGAAUUUUAAAGUAAGAGAUAAGAGACGAAUUUAAUUUUGGACGUAAUCGGCCCGCAUUUAUCCCUACAUCAUAUGACCUUCGUUAUAAAUUAAUAAUUACAAAAUUUAAUGAAUUAUUUCUGUUCAUAAUCUAGAUUAAUAUUUUAAUUGGCUGAAAAUCGAAAGAUAUAACCUCGGAGGGUGGCACCUUUGCCAAAUUUCUAAUUCUCAACAUACCAAAAUAAUACAUCAUACAAAAUAUUUUGGAGUGCUUUAUGAUUUAUCUACUUAAGCAUUUUUUCAAGGCUAAAUUCAACGAUUAAUUUGUUAUUGUCAUAAAGCUCAAAGCUGAAUACAG